AGGUUAAGUGGAAGACACGGAGCCGUAGCGAAAGCGAGUCUGAAUAGGGCGAUUUAGUAUGCGGUCGUAGACCCGAAACCGUGUGAUCUACCCAUGUCCAGGGUGAAGGUCAGGUAACACUGACUGGAGGCCCGAACCCACGUAUGUUGAAAAAUGCGGGGAUGAGGUGUGGGUAGGGGUGAAAUGCCAAUCGAACACGGAGAUAGCUGGUUCUCUCCGAAAUAGCUUUAGGGCUAGCCUCAAGAUGAUGAGUACUGGAGGUAGAGCACUGAUUGGACUAGGGGCCCUCAUCGGGUUACCGAAUUCAGUCAAACUCCGAAUGCCAGAUACUUAAACUUGGGAGUCAGACUAUGGGUGAUAAGGUUCAUAGUCGAAAGGGAAACAGCCCAGACCACCAGCUAAGGUCCCAAAGUAUACGUUAAGUGGAAAAGGAUGUGGAGUUGCUUAGACAACCAGGAUGUUGGCUUAGAAGCAGCCACCAUUUAAAGAGUGCGUAAUAGCUCACUGGUCGAGUGACUCUGCGCCGAAAAUGUACCGGGGCUAAACGUAUCACCGAAGCUGUGGAUUGUUCUUACGAACAAUGGUAGGAGAGCGUUCUAAGUGCUGUGAAGUCAGACCGUGAGGACUGGUGGAGCGCUUAGAAGUGAGAAUGCCGGUAUGAGUAGCGAAAAAAGAGUGAGAAUCUCUUUCACCGAAUGCCUAAGGUUUCCUGAGGAAGGCUCGUCCUCUCAGGGUUAGUCGGGACCUAAGCCGAGGCCGAAAGGCGUAGGCGAUGGACAACAGGCAGAUAUUCCUGUACCACCUCAUGACCGUUUGAGCGAUGGGGGGACGCAGUAGGAUAAGGAAUGCGCACGGAUGGAUGUGUGCGCCCAAGCAGUGAGAAAGUCAGGUAGGCAAAUCCGCCUGGCCAUUUCAAGCUGUGAUGGGGAGGCCUUCUGGCCGAAGUUCCUGAUUUCACACUGCCGAGAAAAGCCUCUAGCAAGGUCACAGGUGCCCGUACCGCAAACCGACACAGGUAGGCGAGGAGAGAAUCCUAAGGUGAGCGGGAGAACUCUCGUUAAGGAACUCGGCAAAAUGACCCCGUAACUUAGGGAGAAGGGGUGCUCUACGGAGUAGAGCCGCAGUGAAUAGGCCCAAGCGACUGUUUAGCAAAAACACAGGUCUCUGCGAAGCCGAAAGGCGAAGUAUAGGGGCUGACACCUGCCCGGUGCUGGAAGGUUAAGGGGAAGAGUUAGGGCUUUUGCCCGAAGCUUAGAACCGAAGCCCCAGUAAACGGCGGCCGUAACUAUAACGGUCCUAAGGUAGCGAAAUUCCUUGUCGGGUAAGUUCCGACCCGCACGAAAGGUGCAACGACUUGGGCACUGUCUCAACGAGAGACCCGGUGAAAUUAUACGAUGCGUGAAGAUGCGCAUUACCCGCGACAGGACGGAAAGACCCCGUGGAGCUUUACUGUAGCCUGAUAUUGAAUGUCUGUGCAGCUUGUACAGGAUAGGUGGGAGCCUUAGAAACGUGAGCGCCAGCUUACGUGGAGGCAUCCGUGGGAUACCACCCUGGCUGUAUGGACCUUCUAACCCAGGACCGUGAUCCGGUUCGGAGACAGUGUCAGGCGGGCAGUUUGACUGGGGCGGUCGCCUCCCAAAAGGUAACGGAGGCGCCCAAAGGUUCCCUCAGAAUGGUUGGAAAUCAUUCGCAGAGUGUAAAGGCAGAAGGGAGCUUGACUGCGAGACCUACAAGUCGAGCAGGGACGAAAGUCGGGCUUAGUGAUCCGGUGGUUCCGCAUGGAAGGGCCAUCGCUCAACGGAUAAAAGCUACCCCGGGGAUAACAGGCUUAUCUCCCCCAAGAGUUCACAUCGACGGGGAGGUUUGGCACCUCGAUGUCGGCUCAUCGCAUCCUGGGGCUGUAGUCGGUCCCAAGGGUUGGGCUGUUCGCCCAUUAAAGCGGUACGCGAGCUGGGUUCAGAACGUCGUGAGACAGUUCGGUCCCUAUCCGUCGUGGGCGUUGGAAGUUUGAGAGGAGCUGUCCUUAGUACGAGAGGACCGGGAUGGACAUACCGCUGGUGUACCAGUUGUUCCGCCAGGAGCAUAGCUGGGUAGCUACGUAUGGAAAGGAUAAGUGCUGAAAGCAUCUAAGCAUGAAGCCCCCCUCAAGAUGAGACUUCCCAUCAUUUUAAAUGAGUAAGAUCCCUCAGAGACGAUGAGGUUAAUAGGUUUGAGGUGGAAGCGUGGCGACACGUGGAGCUGACAAAUACUAAUCGAUCGAGGACUUAACUAAUUU
This 2275-nucleotide ribosomal RNA is filed under the name Bacilli bacterium VT-13-104. Its description in RNAcentral is "bacterial LSU rRNA". It matches the Rfam family "Bacterial large subunit ribosomal RNA", at positions 643 to 2925 of the family's 2925-position model. Lineage: Bacteria; Bacillati; Bacillota; Bacilli. The record is from RNAcentral.